UAAAAUAAUUUGGUGGUGGUUUUUUUGCUUUUUUUUUGUGAAAAAAAAUCAUCUUUAGAAUGGAUUUGUCUUUCAUUGUUUUGGCGGAAAAAGCCAUUUUAAUAUGGAAAUUGUGGGGAAAAGCCAGUUCAAAAUUGAAACAUUCCCCUUAUUUUUUGGUGGAAAAAAAUACAGUUUAAAACUAUUUAAUUAUAUUUAUAUUUUUAUUUCUAUUAAAGAUACAGUGUAAAAGGGACAUUUCCCCUUUUUUGUGGGAGAACCAGGUUUAAAAUCUAUAUUUUUUCCCCAUUUUUUAUGGAAAAACCCAUUUAAAAAAUUAUUUCCCCCCAUUUUCUCUGGAAAAACCCAGUUAAAAAUACAAAUUGUUCCCAUUUUUCUGUAGAAUUCACAAUUCACCUCAGUGGACUUUCAGUGGGACUUAAUAAUAUUAAAGGCCAAUGUAAACAAUUCCAUGCUUUAUGGAGCUAAAAAAUAAACAUGGAUUUGAAACAGAGAGGGGAAAGGAGCUGAGGGAAAUAAUAAAAAUGGGUGUAAAUCUGUGGGAUUUUCGACUCUUGAGGUGGAACUUGAUAUCUGAUGCCCUGAAGCUGACAAAUUUUAUUUUUUUUUUCCUUAGGAAUGACACAGAAAACACAACGGGGCCAGGCAUGAGAAGAGUUCCCAGAAGUUGUUGAAGAGCAGCCUGGAAAGCAAAAUAUUUUCAGGGAUGUCCCUUCAUUAAGGGACAAUUUGUGUUUAUUCCGUGCUCUGUGCUGGAGAUCUGGUGGAUAUAGAGCUAGAAGUUCUGUAGAACCUGGGAUCCCUGCAGGAGGAAGGUCCUGGAGAAAUGUGGAUUUGGGUGAGGCAGCAGGAAAAUCCCACAGGGGAACUGGAACAGUCCUGGAGCCACCUGAGAGCUGGAGGACCCUGGGACACACCAAGGGGCACCGGGGAGAUCACCAGAGGCACUCCCAGGAGAUCACCAGUGUGAAUCCCACAGACUCCUCCUUCCAUCUCCUCUCCUGAAGAAACUUGUAGAGGAGAACUUUUAAGACCUGCUGAAGCACUCUGAGAGACCCCAGCUGUGGUUCUAGGGGAGAAAAAGCAAAAUAUCAGCUGCCAGUGUAAGAGCUGGAAGUGUUUCCCACUCUGCUGUCUGCUUUUCUGGUGAUGGGAACAGAAAAUGUGCGAAGCACCUGAGGAAGGCAGUGGAAAAGGAGGAGGAGUUGAUAAAAGUGUGCAGGUUUCUAAGAAAACAGAGCUACUCCUGGGACAGUUCCCAAAGGGCAAGCAAUAACUGUGAGGUACUCCCCCAAAUAUUGUACCUAAUUUCAGGACGUUCUUCCUGACAAACUAUCUUAGGAGCCAAAGCAACAGGUGACAGAAGCUUUCAAGGACCCACCUCAGGCCAUGUGGUUUGAGAGGGUUUGGACCCCAUGCCAAACUCAAUGGUUACAACUGGAGUAAGAAAAAGGGCUGGGAAAGCUCCAGUACAACCCAGCAGAAGACACCUGUUUCUCUGGGUGCUCCCUGCCUUAGUGGCUUGAUAAAAUCAGCUGACAACCCAAUCAAACCCCACAGACAGGAAAUCAUCGUCCUCAAGAGGCCCCUGCCCUUCUCUACUGAAAAUAAUUCCAUUUUAUACAAGCAAAGUGCUCCCAGUUGCUCCUCCUCAAGCACCUUUAGUGAGGGACACCUCAAACCCCAGAGGGAAACUCACAGAGCCACCACAAACAAACGUCACAGAGCAGGAAUUCCCCCCAGACAGAAAUGUUACAGCUCCAGCAAGCUCGGUCUGGCUCUGCAGCAUUUUGAACUGCCAUAAGAAACCCUUAGGAAGUGUCCCAGAGCAGGUUUUGUGUAAAUACCAAAGGAGCCAGAUCAUUCCUGCUGUUCCCUGGGCGAUCCAAGCCGUUGUCACCGUGCCUUCAGCACACAGAGUGCUAUGUCAUGCACUGUGGGAGCAACCCAUCCAAUCACAUGAGCACGUGGGGCAAAUUUAUUCUACAAACCUUCUUUUUCAGACUAAAAGAAAUCAAAAAAAAGUGUUAAAAAGCGAAUUAUUUUUUUUUUCAGGAACAACAUAAUUUAAGGAAUGAGCAUUUUGCCAUAAAUGUGACGAAGAAACAUCAGAGUUUUUUGGGGAGUGGCCAUAAUUCACGUGCCUGUUUCCCAUCUCCUUUUUAUCCCUAGGGAGAUCCCAGCAUGACCAGCUCAGCACCCACAGCUGUGCUACAAAAGUGCAAAGCAGGGUGAGAUAAUCCACAUUUUAAGCCCCUUUCAGGUGUGUUGGCCAUGUAAGCACUGAGAAAACUCCAGGAAACCCCAACUGCAAUAAUUAUUGUGAUUUAAUUGCUUCACUGAUACAAGUUUAACUCAAACACCGGUGGUGUAACUUCUGAUUUAACAUCUCAGUCCACACAGAAAACUCUUAUUCCAGGCUGAUUAUCUCCAUCCUUCACAGAACAGGCACUUCCUAUUAAAUGAUGUGGGAAAAGUGCCCCCAAGAUUUGCAUGACCUACUUGAAUCA
Molecule: long non-coding RNA, 2510 nt
Organism: Vidua macroura (Pin-tailed whydah)
Lineage: Eukaryota; Metazoa; Chordata; Aves; Passeriformes; Viduidae
Exons: 3
Source: RefSeq, a predicted model, not a curated record